GUGUGAUUUACCACUGGACUACAUUCUCAGUCCAUUUUAAUUUUUAUUUUUCAGACAGGGUCUCACUAAGAUGUGAAGGUUAGCUUUCAACUUGUGAUCCUUCGGUCUUGGUCUCCCAAGUGGCUGGGAUUACAGGUGUGAGCCGAUGUACCUGGCAUUUCAUUUUAUUUCACUGGUUCAGUGGUUUGUUUUCCAAUUACCUCCCUUUUCCUCAUCAAUAUUUGCCUUCAGUAUAUAAUCUUUCCUUCAAUUUGUCCUAUUUCAUCUAAUGCAGUUACAUUGAACAAAGUAGGAUCAUGAUGAGAACAAAAAUUCCAAGAGGUGCGUGGUGCACAACUAUAAUAACAGCUACUCAGGAGACUGAAGCAGGAGGAUCAGAAGUUUGAGGCCAGCCUCAGCAAUUUAAAGAGACCCUGACUCAGAAAAUGAAAAAGGUUGGUGAUGUAGCUCAGUGGUAGAGUGCUCCUGAGUUUAAUCCCUAGUACCUAAAAAGUAAAGAAAAUAAUAGAGAAAACACAAGAAUUUCUCUUGGGGAAUCACAGAAACCCCAAGUUCCACAUGUUAAAAACUAAAUUCAUCAACCAGAAUCCAGCCUGUAUUCCCCAUUUAAGGACACCCAAUGCCAAGACCAAAAACCCAGAAGGCUUCCUACUUCCCUUCUUUUGGUCUCUGUCCUUCCUGCUGUGAAGUCUUAUCUGCUGGGCCCUAUAAAGACCAGUUGGAUUGGGGCAGUUUUCUCUGUCCUCACUUCUGCUACCUCUGUUUGGUCCCAAUGAAAUUUUAAAUUCUCUUACUGAAGAACUGUUCACUCUUCAUUGUUCUCCUUGCAUACAGUCUUGCUCACCUUCACACCCUUCUCCACUUCCAGUCCGAACAAUCUGUUUUAUAUUCAGAUCCAGCAAAAAUCAGUUUUUGCUUGAAAGCCUUAUAUAAUGCCUCAAAUCCCUGACAUGCUAUUUGUGGCCUUUCAUUGUCUAGAUUCUGUUUAUGUUAUCAGCAUAAUAUCAUAACACCCCUUCUCUAACUCUUACUUCAGUGACACUGAAUGAUUCCUGAGCCUCUAACAUGACCUUUGUAUUUGGCCCUUAGGUUUUUGCAUAUUGUGACCCCUCUCAAUGGAACAUUCUUUCAUCACUCUCCUCUCCUGGCCAACUUGUAUAUCUAGGUUCCCUAUAGAUGACAAACCCUUCCUGAACAUCCUCUUAAUUAUCUUUCCAAAUAUAAUGUUGUAGUUACUUCUCAGAAUACCUAUAUCAUGCUGACAUGAUCUCUAUAUCUAUUUUACCUUGAACUGUGCAAUUCUCACAGAGAUUAUAUCUUAUUUGCUGCUUAUCCUCAGCACCUGUUACAGAUAGUGACAUUGCCUUGUAUCUGUUUGCUAAGUGGAUGAAUGACAAGUCCUUUGUCAUACAUUCCUUGAUUCUCUCAGCAUAAUUGCAGUAGAACAGAUGACUAUCUCAUGGGGUGAUAUAAGUAUCAUUUUUUUAAAUGAAUGGAUUAAUUAGAUAACAUCUUUAAACUGCUCUUAGGGCUUGGAGAGAAAUACAUUUACUGUCAUUGAACAUUUGGAAGUAAACACUAUGACAUCAGCUUUGUCUAACCCUUUUCAAGCUACCAGUCUUCAUCUAUCACUUUCAAGAAUUUCCACAUGACUAAAAAAAUCUCUUUUCUAUAUGCUUUAAUUCUCUAGUUGCUCAGUUGGAGGAAAAAAAAAUGUUUCUUGUAUUUUGGGCGGUAUAUAUGAUGAUCUUCAUAGUUAUUCUAAGGCAUAUUACAUUAGGAUAAACUUGUUUCAACUAUUUAAAUUUAAAUCCAAAAACUCAUUUGUUUUCUCUCAGAAAUCUAUUUGAAAUCUUUCAGCAAUCCAGUUAUUUAAACAAAAAACUUUCCAAAAGCAAUAUUGUCGUCUAAUGCCCUAAUUAACCUCUACAAACUGUAUUUGUAUUCCCUCUGCAGUGAUUUCAAAAUCUCUAUGGUCCCUGGAAUGCUUUUUAUAUCAAUGGGAGAGCUGGGUUCUACUGAAAGGUUUGGAUUUAUUGUCUAAGUUUUGCUUAUCCAAUUCUUCCAUGGUACUAUAUCCAUUGUUAAAAGCAAACAUUUUCUUUUCUAUAAUCUAUUCGUUGUUCUUUAAGAUUUGUUCUACUUGUUUUCUAAUAGCAAAUCAUUACUGUUUGAGGGAAUUUUGGUUGAAUUUCCCACAUUUAAAAAUUACUCUGAAAAUCAUAUUGUCAGACUAAAAUUUGGCAUAGAAAUCAGCACAAUAAGACUUUUAACAUCUAUGAGUCCUGCCUCCUUCAUUAGUUAGAUCAACUCUGACUGAACACAAGAAUAAUGGCAGGAAGAAGCUGGGCCUAGGCAAGCUCCCUUCCCAAACUCACACUCAACUUAAGUAGUUUUACUUUUAUUUGUUGCAUAUGUUGGACAGCUGAGUAAAGACUUCAUUUUGGAAAAAAAAUUAAUGGAAAACUUUGCUACAAAAUAUUUUAAGAUCUUUUACCUUAG
RNAcentral lists this long non-coding RNA (2502 nucleotides) under Marmota monax (woodchuck). The record is from RNAcentral. Lineage: Eukaryota; Metazoa; Chordata; Mammalia; Rodentia; Sciuridae.